GCUUAGCCUUAAACCUUAAUAAUUAUAGUAACAAAAUAAUUUGCCAGAGAACUACUAGCCACCGCUUAAAACUCAAAGGACUUGGCGGUACUUUAUAUCCAUCUAGAGGAGCCUGUUCUGUAAUCGAUAAACCCCGCUACACCUCACCACCCCUUGCUAAUUCAGCCUAUAUACCGCCAUCUUCAGCAAACCUUUAAAAAGAAUAAAAGUAAGCAAGAGUAUAAAACCAUAAAAACGUUAGGUCAAGGUGUAGCUUAUGGGGCGGGAAGAAAUGGGCUACAUUUUCUUACAUAGAACAUAAACGAAGGUCUUAUGAAACUAAAGAGUAAAGGAGGAUUUAGUAGUAAAUUAAGAAUAGAGAGCUUAAUUGAAUCGAGCAAUGAAGUACGC
This 390-nucleotide ribosomal RNA is filed under the name Melanomys caliginosus (dusky rice rat). RNAcentral describes it as "partial 12S ribosomal RNA". The record is from RNAcentral. Lineage: Eukaryota; Metazoa; Chordata; Mammalia; Rodentia; Cricetidae.